AAAAACUCCGGUGGUAUGGGAUGGGCCCGCGUCUGAUUAGCUAGUUGGCGGGGUAACGGCCCACCAAGGCGACGAUCAGUAGCCGACCUGAGAGGGCGACCGGCCACAUUGGGACUGAGACACGGCCCAAACUCCUACGGGAGGCAGCAGUGGGGAAUAUUGCACAAUGGGGGAAACCCUGAUGCAGCGACGCCGCGUGAGCGAUGAAGUAUUUCGGUAUGUAAAGCUCUAUCAGCAGGGAAGAAGAUGACGGUACCUGACUAAGAAGCCCCGGCUAACUACGUGCCAGCAGCCGCGGUAAUACGUAGGGGGCAAGCGUUAUCCGGAUUUACUGGGUGUAAAGGGAGCGUAGACGGCGAUGCAAGCCAGAUGUGAAAGCCCGGGGCUCAACCCCGGGACUGCAUUUGGAACUGUGUGGCUGGAGUGUCGGAGAGGCAGGCGGAAUUCCUAGUGUAGCGGUGAAAUGCGUAGAUAUUAGGAGGAACACCAGUGGCGAAGGCGGCCUGCUGGACGAUGACUGACGUUGAGGCUCGAAAGCGUGGGGAGCAAACAGGAUUAGAUACCCUGGUAGUCCACGCCGUAAACGAUGACUGCUAGGUGUCGGGCGGCAAAGCCGUUCG
RNAcentral lists this ribosomal RNA (620 nucleotides) under uncultured bacterium. RNAcentral describes it as "bacterial SSU rRNA". It matches the Rfam family "Bacterial small subunit ribosomal RNA", at positions 202 to 842 of the family's 1533-position model. The record is from RNAcentral.